RNAcentral lists this ribosomal RNA (229 nucleotides) under uncultured bacterium. Its description in RNAcentral is "partial 16S ribosomal RNA". It matches the Rfam family "Bacterial small subunit ribosomal RNA", at positions 568 to 796 of the family's 1533-position model. The record is from RNAcentral.
CAUGUAGGCGGACUGUUAAGUCUGAUGUGAAAGCCCGGGGCUCAACCCCGGAAGUGCAUUGGAUACUGGCAGUCUUGAGUAUGGGAGAGGAAAGUGGAAUUCCGAGUGUAGGAGUGAAAUCCGUAGAUAUUCGGAGGAACACCAGUGGCGAAGGCGGCUUUCUGGACCAAUACUGACGCUGAGAUGCGAAAGCGUGGGGAGCGAACAGGAUUAGAUACCCUGGUAGUCC